Molecule: long non-coding RNA, 686 nt
Organism: Cotesia glomerata
Lineage: Eukaryota; Metazoa; Arthropoda; Insecta; Hymenoptera; Braconidae
Exons: 2
Source: RefSeq, a predicted model, not a curated record
UCUACUUUUUUAUUUAGUGUUAUGUGACAUGUUAUUAUUGAUUAUCUAAGUUAUUUAUUGAAUCAUGCUAUUGUUUUAGGCCUGGAAGAUGAGAAGAAAUAAGACACCAGGAAAUAUGAUCAGUGAUAUGUCUGAGUUAUGUCAAGAAAUAUUUAUAUAUAUUUAUUUGAUAUUUUUUUAUGAGUCAAUAAGCACUAUUUCUUCUGUAUCAACGGAUGAAAUAAACUUCUGAAUCAGAAGAAUUGAUUUGAUGUGUUUAUAAAUAGAAGAAGAUAAUUAUCCACUCAAGAGGGGAGUAUUCUUCUUUGGUAAAUGAAAAUACACAAAAAAAAAGUAAUCUUGAAACAUAAAAUUGAAUAACAGGCGUCUAGUGCAGUGAAAAGCGCUUGCAAAUGAAAAAGAAGAAGAAGAAGAAGAAGCUUUAAGAUAAAUUUCUUUUAAUCCGGCCGCUUAUAAGUGCCCCAAAGAUCAUACCCUUACAUUCUAAUAAUCUUUAUCUAAUCUCGGAAGAUAGUAAUAAAACAUGUCAUUUAAAUUAUGUUAAAUAACAUAUUAGUUAUUUAUCUUCCUCAAAUGAGAUACUAGUUUUUUAUAAGAGGGAAGAAUUUUUGUUAUCUAGUCAAUUAGGUCUGUGUUGACUCUACGAGACCUAGAGGAUAAUAAAAAUGUUUUUUUGGUAAAACAAA